This 277-nucleotide unclassified non-coding RNA is filed under the name sea anemone metagenome. Its description in RNAcentral is "partial contains small subunit ribosomal RNA and internal transcribed spacer 1". The stretch from base 1 to 155 matches the Rfam family "Eukaryotic small subunit ribosomal RNA", at positions 1678 to 1831 of the family's 1831-position model. The record is from RNAcentral.
GCUCCUACCGAUUUCGAGUGUUCAGGUGAAUUAUUCGGACUGACGCAGUGCUCAGCUUCUGGACGUUGCGUUGGAAAGUUUCAUGAACCUUAUCACUUAGAGGAAGGAGAAGUCGUAACAAGGUUUCCGUAGGUGAACCUGCAGAAGGAUCAAGAUCUGAUGAUCGUCUUUUAGUGAAAGAGUGUAGAUCUCGUUUUUCUCCGUAUCAUUACAUAUAAUAUUCUUUUCUUUCUUUUUUCUUUUUCUUUUCCUUUCUUAUUUCUUCUUUUUUUUUCUU